RNAcentral lists this ribosomal RNA (453 nucleotides) under uncultured bacterium. RNAcentral describes it as "bacterial SSU rRNA". It matches the Rfam family "Bacterial small subunit ribosomal RNA", at positions 28 to 524 of the family's 1533-position model. The record is from RNAcentral.
GACGAACGCUGGCGGUGUGCUUCACACAUGCAAGUCGAACGAGGUAGCAAUACCUAGUGGCGGACGGGUGAGUAACGCGUGGGAAUCUGCCUUUAGGUGGGGGAUAACGGGUCGAAAGACUCGCUAAUACCGCAUAUGACGAAAGUUGAAAGGAGUAAUCCGUCUAAAGAUGAGCCCGCGUCCGAUUAGCUAGUUGGUAGAGUAAAAGCCUACCAAGGCGACGAUCGGUAGCUGGUCUGAGAGGAUGAUCAGCCACAAUGGGACUGAGACACGGCCCAUACUCCUACGGGAGGCAGCAGUGGGGAAUUUUACGCAAUGGGCGAAAGCCUGACGUAGCGACACCGCGUGAGCGAAGAAGCCCCUUGGGGUGUAAAGCUCUGUCAGCUGGAACGAAAAAAUGACGGUACCAGCAGAGGAAGCAUCGGCUAACUACGUGCCAGCAGCCGCGGUAAU